UACAGAGGUCUCAAGCGUUGUUCGGAUUCAUUGGGCGUAAAGGGUGCGUAGGCGGUGGAGUAAGUCUGAUGUGAAAUCCCGGAGCUCAACUUCGGAACUGCAUUGGAUACUGCUUUACUUGAGUACUGGAGAGGAGAUUGGAAUUUACGGUGUAGCAGUGAAAUGCGUAGAUAUCGUAAGGAAGACCAGUGGCGAAGGCGAAUCUCUGGACAGUUACUGACGCUGAGGCACGAAGGCCAGGGGAGCAAACGGG
Molecule: ribosomal RNA, 253 nt
Filed under: uncultured Spartobacteria bacterium
Lineage: Bacteria; Pseudomonadati; Verrucomicrobiota; Spartobacteria
Description: partial 16S ribosomal RNA
Rfam family: Bacterial small subunit ribosomal RNA
Source: RNAcentral